This 1677-nucleotide ribosomal RNA is filed under the name Triticum aestivum (bread wheat). Its description in RNAcentral is "partial small subunit ribosomal RNA". The record is from RNAcentral. Lineage: Eukaryota; Viridiplantae; Streptophyta; Magnoliopsida; Poales; Poaceae.
AUGGGCGAGAUGAACCACCAGCCCGGGGUGCCGCCGCCGGUGGGCGUGCCACCGCCCAUGGGGAUGCAGCCCAUGAUGAACGCUCCGGUCGGCGCGGGCGCCAUGCACCAGCCCUACGAGCAGUUCAACCAACUCAACUACUGCGUCCACUCCAAUCCUUCUUGGGUUCAGGUAGCAGGGCUUGCAUUCCUCCACUACCUAGUGAUGUUGGGCUCGACUGUCAUGCUUGUGUCAAUUAUUGUUCCUGCAAUGGGUGGUGGUCCUGGUGAGAAGGCUCGUGUUAUUCAAGCGUUCCUGUUUGUGAGUGGCAUUAAUACUCUGCUCCAAACACUCGUUGGGACACGACUUCCAACAGUUAUGAAUGCCUCCUUCGCAUUUGUUGUCCCAGUGCUGUCAAUAGCCAGACAGUUUAACACAAACGACUUUGAAAGUAAUCACGAGAGAUUCGUUCACACAAUGAGAGCAACUCAAGGGGCUCUAAUUGUUGCUUCAAUCCUCAACAUGAUUCUUGGAUACAGCAGAGCAUGGGGGGCAUUUGCCAAGAAAUUCAGUCCUGUAAUAAUGACUCCUGUUGUUUGUGUCGUUGGUCUUGGACUAUUUCAAAUUGGCUUUCCUCAGGUUGGAAAAUGUGUUGAGAUUGGGUUGCCAAUGCUAAUUCUUGCGAUUGUUGUGCAACAGUAUGCGCCACUUUACUUCAGACAUAUCCAUGACCGAACAACCUUCUUGUUUGAGAGGUAUUCGUUGCUUCUUUGUAUCGGCAUUGUGUGGGCCUUUGCAGCUAUCCUUACUGCUGCUGGUGCAUACAACCAUGUUUCGCUCAAGACACAACAGCACUGCCGCACUGACAAGUCUUUCCUUAUAUCAUCUGCACCAUGGAUCAAAAUUUCAUACCCCUUCCAUUGGGGUCCACCAAUCUUCACUGCAGGUCAUUCAUUUGGAAUGAUGGGUGCUGUGCUUGUUUCAUCUUUUGAGUCAACCGGUGCACACUUUGCAACUGCACGUCUAGCCGGUGCAACACCACCCCCAGCUCAUGUUCUUACUCGAAGUAUUGGUUUACAGGGCAUUGGGAUAUUCCUGGCAGGACUGUGUGGUGCUCCAGCCGGUUCAUCUGUAUCAGUCGAAAACAUCGGGCUACUUGGAUUAACAAAAGUUGGAAGUAGGAGAGUGAUCCAGAUAUCAACUGGCUUCAUGAUAUUCUUCUCCAUAUUUGGGAAGUUUGGGGCGUUCUUCGCAUCAAUCCCGUUGCCAAUCUUCGCAGCAAUUUACUGCAUCUUGUUUGGUAUCGUAGCUGCUGUGGGAAUCUCGUUCAGCCAGUUUGCAAACAAAAACUCCAUGAGGAACAUCUACAUCAUUGGACUAUCCUUGUUCCUUGGCAUCUCGAUCCCUCAAUAUUUCGCAGAGUACACCGCUUCUGCUGGCCGCGGACCUGCCCGAACAAAUGCAGGAUGGUUCAAUGACAUCAUCAACACAGUUUUUGCCUCCGGCCCAACGGUGGCGCUGAUCGUCGCGUCGCUUCUGGACAACACGCUGGAGCCCCGUGCCAACGAGAACGACCGAGGGCUCUCAUGGUUCACGCCAUUUCUGCGCCGCCGUAAAGGGUACUCGGACCCCAGGAACGAGGAGUUCUACAGCUACCCGAUACGGGUCCAUGACUUGGUUCCGCACCGGUUUCUCUGA